RNAcentral lists this ribosomal RNA (468 nucleotides) under uncultured bacterium. RNAcentral describes it as "partial 16S ribosomal RNA". It matches the Rfam family "Bacterial small subunit ribosomal RNA", at positions 28 to 507 of the family's 1533-position model. The record is from RNAcentral.
GACGAACGCUGGCGGCGUGCUUAACACAUGCAAGUCGAACGGAAAGGCCCUGCUUUUGUUGGUUGCUCGAUUGGCGAACGGGUGAGUAACACGUGAGUAACCUGCCCUUGACUUUGUGAUAACUUCAGGAAACUGCGGCUCAUACCGGAUAUGAUCUCCUGCUGCAUGGUGGGGGUUGGAAAGUUUCGGCGGUUGUGGAUGGACUCGCGGCUUAUCAGCUUGUUGGUGUGGUAGUGGCUUACCAAGGGUUUGACGGGUAGCCUGCCUGAGAGGGUGACCGGCGACAUGGGGACUGAGAGACGGCGCAGAAGCCAACGGGAGGCAGUAGGGGGGAAUAUGGCAGAAUGGGGGGAAGCCUGAUGCAGAAACGCCGCGUGCGGGAUGACGGGUUUCGGGGGGUAAACCGAUGUGGCAGGUGACGAAGAGGGAGUGACGGUAAUGGGUAAAGAAGCACCGGCUAACUACGUG